GACAGAGGGCGCGAGCGUUGUUCGGAAUCACUGGGCGUAAAGCGCGCGCAGGCGGACCAGGCAAGUCUGGAGUGAAAUCUCGCCGCUCAACGGCGAGGCUGCUUUGGAAACUGCGGGUCUGGAGACCGGUAGAGGCUGGUAGAAUUGCAGGUGUAGCGGUGGAAUGCGUAGAGAUCUGCAAGAAUACCCGUGGCGAAGGCGGCCAGCUGGGCCGGUUCUGACACUCAUCCGCGAAAGCGUGGGGAGCAAACAGG
RNAcentral lists this ribosomal RNA (254 nucleotides) under uncultured bacterium. RNAcentral describes it as "partial 16S ribosomal RNA". It matches the Rfam family "Bacterial small subunit ribosomal RNA", at positions 524 to 776 of the family's 1533-position model. The record is from RNAcentral.